RNAcentral lists this ribosomal RNA (420 nucleotides) under bacterium. Its description in RNAcentral is "partial 16S ribosomal RNA". It matches the Rfam family "Bacterial small subunit ribosomal RNA", at positions 355 to 776 of the family's 1533-position model. The record is from RNAcentral.
UGGGGGAUAUUGCACAAUGGGCGAAAGCCUGAUGCAGCGACGCCGCGUGGGGGAUGAAGGCUUUCGGGUUGUAAACCUCUUUCGCUAUCGAACAAGGCCCGCUUAGGGUGGGUUGAGGGUAGGUGGAGAAGAAGCGCCGGCUAACUACGUGCCAGCAGCCGCGGUAAUACGUAGGGCGCGAGCGUUGUCCGGAAUUAUUGGGCGUAAAGGGCUUGUAGGCGGCUUGUUGCGCCUGCUGUGAAAACGCGGGGCUUAACUUCGCGCGUGCAGUGGGUACGGGCAGGCUUGAGUGGGGUAGGGGUGACUGGAAUUCCAGGUGUAGCGGUGGAAUGCGCAGAUAUCUGGAGGAACACCGAUGGCGAAGGCAGGUCACUGGGCCAUUACUGACGCUGAGGAGCGAAAGCAUGGGUAGCGAACAGG